Molecule: ribosomal RNA, 488 nt
Filed under: uncultured bacterium
Lineage: Bacteria
Description: partial 16S ribosomal RNA
Rfam family: Bacterial small subunit ribosomal RNA
Source: RNAcentral
GACGAACGCUGGCGGCGUGCUUAACACAUGCAAGUCGAACGGAAAGGCCCUGCUUUUGUGGGGUGCUCGAGUGGCGAACGGGUGAGUAACACGUGAGUAACCUGACCUUGACUUUGGGAUAACUUCAGGAAACUGGGGCUAAUAUCGGAUAGGAGCUCCUGCUGCAUGGUGGGGGUUGGAAAGUUUCGGCGGGUGGGGAUGGACGCGCGGCUGAUCAGCUAGUUGGUGGGGUAGUGGCUUACCAAGGCGUCGACGGGUAGCUGGCCUGAGAGGGGGACCGGCCACACUGGAAGUGGGACACGGGCGAGAGUCAUACGGGAGGCAGCAGGGGGGACGAGGGGACAAGGGGCGCAAGCCGGAGCCAGCGAUACCGCGUGGGAGAACAAGGCCUUCGGUGGGGAAAGAGCUUUUGCGGGGAAAGAAAAGCAACAGGUUAAGACCCCGCUGUUCUGACGGUACGCAAAGAAGAAGCACCGGCUAACUUCGUG